GUGCUCACUUCAGCAGCACAUACACUAAAAUUGGAACCAUACAGAGAUUAGUAUGGCCCCUGUACAAGAAUGGCAUGCAAAUUAAUGAAUUGUUUUGUAGUUUU
Small nuclear RNA from Peromyscus leucopus (white-footed mouse), 104 nucleotides. NCBI's taxonomy places the organism in Eukaryota, Metazoa, Chordata, Mammalia, Rodentia, Cricetidae. The record is from RefSeq and is a predicted model, not a curated record.